This is a long non-coding RNA of Cebus imitator (Panamanian white-faced capuchin), 2854 nucleotides long. RefSeq lists it as uncharacterized. The record is from RefSeq and is a predicted model, not a curated record. Lineage: Eukaryota; Metazoa; Chordata; Mammalia; Primates; Cebidae. The transcript has 2 exons.
CGCUCGUCCCCGCCGCGGCCGCGCCGCCUGCAGCAGCACCAGCUGCUCCUCCCCGGCGGCCGCCCCCAGCGGGUCCCUCCCUGGCUGCGGGAGAGACGGAGUAGAGGGAGGACACGGACCCGCGCUGCCCGCACCGGAGACCUUCGCCUGGCCCCGCCAGUUCCUCACCCUCGGGGAGCAACAUGGCAGAUAAUCUCAGUGAUACCUUAAAGAAGCUGAAGAUAACAGCUGUUGACAGGACUGAGGAUAGUUUAGAAGGAUGCUUGGAUUGUCUGCUUCAAGCCCUGGCUCAAAAUAGUAAGUUUCAUUAUGUUUACUCAAAUUCCAAACGAGAAAAUCAAAUUCAGUAGUCAUUCAGAAACUGGCGUGUAGUUAAGCACAUAACUUUGUAUUCAUAUAACUUGAAUUCUUUUGAAUCAUAUCCCUGAAUACUGAGAUUGUUUUACAUGUUCCAUCCUCCUACCCACCCUCCACGCCCCCCCAGGAUCCUCAAAGCCAAAUUGAUAGGCAAAGAAAGGAGGAAUUGAUGGGUGGUGAUGACAUUAAUACCAGUCCCAGAGAGAGGCCGUUGUUUGUUCCUAACAGUAAAGCAUCAUAGUUGUUUUUCUUAACACCUACAUUUGUGCUUUAAAAAUAGACUGUUUUAUAUGUAGGGACAGUGGGGAAGGAGAGAGAAGAGAAACAGAGGGGAGCUUAAAACAUUUAACAUUUUUUGAGAUAUUAUCAUAUUUUAAAAUAAUUGUACUUUAAAAUAAUAUGUAUGCAUAGAUUUGGAAAGAACCAUUAGUAGUCAUCAAAAGUCUUUUGAAGUUGAGAUAAGAUUUUAUCUUUAAUGUGGUAAAUAAUGCUAGAGAUAGAAACUGCACAAUUCUUCUUUGACACAUUGUAUUGCAUUUUAUUUAUCUUAUUUCUAUUCACUAAUUUCUGUAUUAUCACCAUUAAUAGAUCGGUAUAGAGUGAUUUUCAUUUGUUAUCUUAAUUGUGCUUGGUUGUGCUAUGGUUUGUUCUGUACUUGUUUUUAAUUAUGCUGUUGUCCUAUCCUGAGACUAAUUAUGCAGCUAACAAAGAAUUGAGAGGCAAGUGUAUAUUGUUACGGUUUUAAUUGUAGUGUUUCAACACUUGUUGAUAUAUGUGUUUUUUAAUUUUUAGUAAAUCUUGACUAGAAAAAUCUAAAAUGAUUGCAGUGCUCUUCAUCAAAAAAGUGCAUUUUAGAGCUAGCUUUUAAAAUUCUUUUUCAGUAAUUAUUUUGAGAUUAUAACUCUGUCAAGCUGUUUAAUCUUGGAGAUAACAGAGAAGGGAUUUGAAACAAGGAGUUUAACCAGAGCAUCUGGAUAAGGCUCAAAAUGGAAAAGAAAAAAGACAGGGAAGGAGAGUGUCAAAGACUGCUAUCCGUUUUAAUAGACACAUGUGGCUAUUUAGAUUUAAUACAAAUAAGUAAAAUUGAAAAGUAAGUUCCUUAGUCUCACUUCUCAGUAGCUAUAUUUGGCAGAUGACCACCCUCUUGGGGAUCACAGAUAUAAAAUAUUCCCAUGAUCAUAGAAAAUUCUUAUGGAUAGCACUGAUCUAGAAAUUAGAAAGAACCACACAAUGACCUGAUUUUUUUUGUUUACAUGUGCCACAAUGGGCAGCUUUCCACAGUAACAUAAUUAGCCUAAGUAAAUUAAGUAUCUCAGGUAUGUUUUUUUGAACAGCUGUUUUAUGAUAACCUUUGUCUGUUUUCAGUGACCCUUUUUUUUCUCUGUUAGAAAACAGUAAACUUUGAAAUAGACCAUUUGUUUUAGAAACUGAAGAACAUGUGAAGGGUCAUAUUCUUGGUCAUCUGUAGAAGGUUGCCCAUUGUCUCCUAGAAAGACUGGAAGACACAGAUGAAGUUGAAGGGAAAUGAAGAAGAAAGGGAGCAAAAGUUUAUACCUUUUUAAAGAAAAGAUUCAAAAAAUAUUGACAAGUUUAUAAUUAGUGGAUUACAUUUCAGCCCCAUUGUGAGCUUAUUCAGUAUACCUUUUGUUGAAAAUGGUCUUGAAAUUGUAUAUCACAAAAUGUUAAGACCAUGUAACCACAAGUUGUUGAAACAAUAAACUCUCACAAAUUUAACUAGUGACAACCCAGGAAGGGAACGAACAAAAGGAAUGUCUUGUUAAUCAAACAAAAUUUAUAAAUGUUCUCAUGCCUAAGACUGCUAACAAAAAAGAAUUUGACAUUAGAAGAAGGAGUUCAUGCAGAUAUCCAGUCUUUGAUUUAGGAAUUAUAUCUGUCAUUGGAUUUCUUACUGUAUGUUUAAUACUGGGCUGGGGAUUAUAGCCACUGUCUAGUCUUUCCUCCAGCCCUAUGAGAUAGGUGUUAUUAUCACCAUUUAAAGGAUGAGGUAACAGAUUAAUAAGCUUACUUGCCUUGCUCUGGAAGAAGCCAGAGUUUGGAUUUGAAUUCUUGGUUUACAAAAUAAAAAAUUAUAAUCUGAGUAAAGUGAAGCUUUUUGUUGAGUUUAUGUAAUGUGAAACUGUUCCAAGAAGCUAGAUUUUAAUAUUUUCUUAAAUGUUUGCUUUUUAAAAAAAAAAAAAAGCUUCCAAAUUUUUAUUAAAGUAGAUAAGCCUGUUUUACUUGAACUAUAAAGUGAUAUAUGUAUUUCAUAAACAUUUAUUGAUAUACUUUAUAAAGUGAGAAUUUGGCUUUUUAACAAGAAAAAGUAAAAUAUAUUAGUAAGAUGUUAAUUUUCUAUAAUUCUUCCUUGAAUAAGGUGAUUGGACCAUUGCUACUUCUGUCCUCCUAAAUGUAAAAUUAUAAAACAUUUAACUUAGAAGAAUCUGUACUUGCUUUUAUAAAAACAAAAAAAACCAGAGAGCUUCAAGUUUCAUAAUUC